AAACCCCUGUACCCCUACUCUCUACACCAGAUACAACUAAACCCCCUGUACCCCUACUCUCUACACCAGAUACAACUAAACCCCCUGUACCCCUACCCUCUACACCAGAUACAACUAAACCCCCUGUACCCCUACCCUGUACCCCUACACUCUUCACCGGCUACAACUAAACUCACCUAAACCUACACUCUGUACCCCUACCCUCCAUUGCCCUACACCACUAUCCUGCCCCUGAGAAGGAGAGUAGAGGACACAAUGGCAAGAGCGAGAGGAAGAUGGCAAGGAGGAUGAGGAGGUCAGAGGAAGUAGCAUUUCUUUGGUAGAGUGUGCUCCAUCUGACAGAUUGAGAAUUUUUUUUUUCAUGAAAGAAAUGCAAAGUAAUACACAGUGGGGAGAACAGGUAUUUGAUAACCUGCCGAUUUUGCAGGUUUUCCUACUUACAAAGCAUGUAGAGGUCUGUAAUUUUUAUCAUAGGUACACUUCAACUGUGAGAGACGGAAUCUAAAACAAAAAUCCAGUGUAUCAAAUACUUGUUCUCCCCACUGUGUGUGUGUGUGUGUGUAUGUAUAUAUAUAUAUGUAUAUGUAAGUAAGGGAUAAGGUACUGUAGAAGUAAGGAAUGAAGACGCCAAAGUUCUGCGCAUUACCUUGGAAAAAAUGGAGGACAAGGCAGAGCCGAGUCUCUUUGCGGGGGUCAUUUUUCUAAGAUGGUGUACAGAACGUCGGCGUCUAUCCCGCUUAUACCACAGUUCCCACAAUUAUUUUGUUAUAAGACAAUUCAUGCUUUCUUAUCUUUUGGUUGCUAGAGACGUGACCCAGUCGGUCGUUCAAUACUGUCCUUCUUAUCUUUUGCUUGUUAACUAGCCAACUAGCUACGGCUAACACAGUCACGACGUCGGCAGCCAGAAUAACAGCAAAGUAGCUGGAUUUUUGCAUUUUUGUUUAAGCUGUUUUCUAGUGACAUUCAUUUGGAUAAUGAGCUGAUGAUCCCCCCUGGCAUAGUGCCUUCUCAUCAUGACGACGAGAUCACAUUGCAUAUCAAACACUAACGCAAGGCUAGACGCUAAGUAGUUUGUUGCUAGCAAACCUGCUAAAAUGACAACCUAAUUCAAACAUAUCAAUUGCUGAAAACAGCUGGACAAACUCGAAAUGUCACGUGGCAGGAUUUGAAAGCAUAGCCGCCCAUUUGCGUUACGACUAUACCGACAGUAGGGGACCGGAGAAAUCCAUGUUCAUCACACACCACGUUGGGUCAUCAGAUGCUCCAAAAGAAAAUGUCAAAAGCAACAACAACAACAAAAAGCUAAAUCAAUUGCUACCUAGAUAGACCUGCGUUUAGUGUGGUUGUUGGUUUAGCUUUCUGUAACUUUGUAGUAUGGGCUGCAUGUGUGUCGGUGCUUAUUGCGUUAUGAUUACAAAGUGAGCCCCGUUAUCUUUUCCAACUCCCAUUUAUAUCUGGUUUUAAUGUCCAGUCUAGAUUGUCCUUCUAGCUAAUCAGAAACGAGUAUUCAACAAUGCUGUGGUAUAAUUUAAAGUGUAAUGCUUUACUUUUGUUUAAACUAAUCCCCAACAUCGCUAAACACACAGCAACAACUUGUCUGAGGCAUUUCUGGUCUGUUCGUCUCUUAGAAGGGUUUUAAUAUCUGUUUCCACCUUCUCUGUCUGGGUUGGAGUUUAGAGAGAAUGUUUUUUUUUUUUUGACUUGUUUCUGACUCAGAAAGCAGGAAGUAGAUCCUUCAAAGCAGGAAGUUAAAUGUGAAAUUAUUGCUUUUUAAUGAAAAUUCCACUAUAUUUUGGACAAUCAUGGUAGGCAGCUGAGGCAGAGCUGUGUCCUUUGUACCUCACCAACAAUACUUGGUCUUCUGUGUUAUUGUACGUAGUUGUUGUUAUUUGUGAACUCAGGUUCACCUUUUUAUCUCAUAUUAGGUUGUGGUUGAAGAUCUGAUAACAUUCGGUAUCAAAAAUAGAGAAAAUCAGAAACUACUUUUUCACGGCAUUGCUAUUCCAAAUUUUACACUUACACCGCUCGAACAUCGAGAAGAUUCAAAUACUGCUCGGUUUUUUCCUGGAAAACUUGACUUUUUUUUCGUCCUCAUGCUGAGCUAGCAGUAGCCACAGUAUCUUCUGGCAAAUUACACCUACUUAUACUUUUAUUGUGGACACAAUAUAGUGUGGACAGUAGAAUGAUUUCCAUUAAUUUCUCUGAGAACAAUAUCUUCAUUUAACUCCAUGUCAUCAGGCGGAUGCUGUCCCUCUUCCUCUACUUUCUCCUCCUCUUCCUCACUUCUUCCACUCCUCUGCUCUGGCUCUCUGUGUGUUUUCUCUCCAAUACUACUACUACUACCACCACCACUGCUACAACCUCAACGCGCACAUGUGUGUGUGUGUACACACUACAGUGUGUGUUAGUGUACUCCAAAUGCCUCCCUCUCUGAACCUGGUACUACCACAAAUCUAUUUUUAACUGCUUGUGUUUUAGUUUUCAGAUUUUCUGUGAGGAAGUCAUGUUAAAUGUAACUGGUGUAUGUAUGUAUGUUAGGAUUUUAUUGUCUAUUUUGAGUUUCGCAAAAACAACCGUUUUUUUUGUUUGUUUUUUUCUCGAAUAUUUGAGUUUUUAUUGAUGUUGUCGGAGAAGGGAGGAUAAGAUUUCAAGAUAUCCAAAGUAGUGGUCGUCUGUUGGCCUACAGAUCUGUAUGUAGUCCGACUCUGCAACUGAAUAGGAGAACACGGGUUGUGUCCCAAAAAUGGAAUCAUAUUCCCGAAGCUAACUGGCAACAAACAGGUCUGGGACCAGGCUAACUGGCUACAAACAGGUCUGGGGCCAGGCUAACUGGCAACAAACAGGUCUGGGACCAGGCUAACUGGCUACAAUCAGAUCUGGGACCAGGCUAACUGGCUACAAACAGGUCUGGGACCAGGCUAACUGGCUACAAACAGGUCUGGGACCAGGCUAACUGGCUACAAACAGGUCUGGGACCAGGCUAAUUUUUUUACGCUCCAGUCUAAGUCUGAGAUCAUCUUCCUUUGUAUUCCCUCCUUUCUUUUCAUUUAUUUCUAAGAAGAUUCUAUUAUCAAGUGAGACAUUUAAAAAAAAAAAAAUUUUAUUGGUUGUAGUCGUUCUUCAAUGUCCCGCCCACUGCAGUCUCAUUUUGAUUUGAUUGGUUGUAUUACGACGGAGAUGUGGUUGUCCCACCUAGCUUAUCGUAACAUGAAUGCACUAACUUGUAAAUCGCUCUGGAUAAGAAUAUCUGUUAUCAUGAUGACGUUGACAAAUGAAAUGCUAUUUCUGGGACUUCUUUCUCCUCUGCGAUAUUAAACAAGCAACUUGUCUGAGUGAAUGCAAUGUGUAAACAAUACUAAGUUAUACCGGAUCAAGAAAAAUCAUUAUUUUAGAAACUUAAAAAAAAAAAAUUAAAAUAAAGUUUGUGCGAAAUAUAACGAUAAAAUUAUAAUGACACAUUUAUUUGUAUUUAUUAAUUUUUUUGUUCUCUUUUUAAUAAAUGAAUGUCGUUUUUUAAAAUUUUAUUUAACUAGGCAAGUCAGGUAAGAACAAAUUCUUAUUUACAAUGACGGCCUACACCGGCCAAAACCGUAACCCGGACGACGCUGGACCAAUUGUGCACCGCCCUAUGGGUCUCCCAAUCACGGUCGUUAAGUAUAAAUGGUAUGUAAACUAGGUGUGGCCAUUUUGAAUGAAUAGUUGAUAUCUCCUGGAGGUUUAGUGGAAGCAAGUAGAAGUUAGGAGUUUUAUGUUUUAGCAUGGUCAUCUACUGUGUCUGAAAGAGAGAAUGAAGGUCAUUUAUCAGAUGUGCUGUUGUAAAAAAAUAAAUGUUUGAUGCUUA
Molecule: long non-coding RNA, 3841 nt
Organism: Oncorhynchus tshawytscha (Chinook salmon)
Lineage: Eukaryota; Metazoa; Chordata; Actinopteri; Salmoniformes; Salmonidae
Source: Ensembl